RNAcentral lists this transfer RNA (76 nucleotides) under Ensifer fredii. RNAcentral's name for it is "Sinorhizobium fredii tRNA-Lys". It matches the Rfam family "tRNA". Rfam says of the family: Transfer RNA (tRNA) molecules are approximately 80 nucleotides in length. Their secondary structure includes four short double-helical elements and three loops (D, anti-codon, and T loops). Further hydrogen bonds mediate the characteristic L-shaped molecular structure. tRNAs have two regions of fundamental functional importance: the anti-codon, which is responsible for specific mRNA codon recognition, and the 3' end, to which the tRNAs corresponding amino acid is attached (by aminoacyl-tRNA synthetases). tRNAs cope with the degeneracy of the genetic code in two manners: having more than one tRNA (with a specific anti-codon) for a particular amino acid; and 'wobble' base-pairing, i.e. permitting non-standard base-pairing at the 3rd anti-codon position. RNAcentral also lists the same sequence under 27 other names. The record is from RNAcentral. Lineage: Bacteria; Pseudomonadati; Pseudomonadota; Alphaproteobacteria; Hyphomicrobiales; Rhizobiaceae.
GAGCGCGUAGCUCAGUCGGUAGAGCAACUGACUUUUAAUCAGUAGGUCCAGGGUUCGAAUCCCUGCGCGCUCACCA